This 172-nucleotide small RNA is filed under the name Chrysemys picta bellii (western painted turtle). RNAcentral's name for it is "TUC338 (ENSCPBG00000012745.1)". Lineage: Eukaryota; Metazoa; Chordata; Testudines; Emydidae. The record is from RNAcentral.
AGUAUAGUGUAAGUUGUUAGACUAACAACAGAACAUAUACAACACAAGUACUGACAGUGCAAGCUUCCCCACACUGUCCUGCAAGUGCACAGCAACCUUGAUUAGGAGGGACCACAACUGACAAGAGCUAAAAGAUCAGUUAUUUUUCAUUCCCAUUGCAUAACUGGCCUCU